UUGGUCAUUUAGAGGAAGUAAAAGUCGUAACAAGGUUUCCGUAGGUGAACCUGCGGAAGGAUCAUUACCUAGAGUUGUAGGCUUUGCCUGCUAUCUCUUACCCAUGUCUUUUGAGUACCUUCGUUUCCUCGGCGGGUCCGCCCGCCGAUUGGACAUAUUCAAACCCUUUGCAGUUGCAAUCAGCGUCUGAACAAACUAAAUAGUUACAACUUUCAACAACGGAUCUCUUGGUUCUGGCAUCGAUGAAGAACGCAGCGAAAUGCGAUAAGUAGUGUGAAUUGCAGAAUUCAGUGAAUCAUCGAAUCUUUGAACGCACAUUGCGCCCCUUGGUAUUCCAUGGGGCAUGCCUGUUCGAGCGUCAUUUGUACCUUCAAGCUUUGCUUGGUGUUGGGUGUUUGUCUCGCCUCUGCGCGCAGACUCGCCUCAAAACAAUUGGCAGCCGGCGUAUUGAUUUCGGAGCGCAGUACAUCUCGCGCUUUGCACUCAUAACGACGACGAUCCAAAAGUACAUUUUUACACUCUUGACCUCGGAUCAGGUAGGGAUACCCGCUGAACUUAAGCAUAUCAAUAAG
Molecule: ribosomal RNA, 572 nt
Filed under: uncultured fungus
Lineage: Eukaryota; Fungi
Description: eukaryotic LSU rRNA
Rfam family: 5.8S ribosomal RNA (bases 208-361)
Source: RNAcentral